GACGUAGGGCGCGAGCGUUGUCCGGAUUUAUUGGGCGUAAAGAGCUCGUAGGCGGCUCAUUGCGUCAACCCGUGAAAUCCUGCUGCUCAACGGCAGUCGUGCGGUUGAUACGGGUGGGCUGGAGUUCGGUAGGGGAGACUGGAAUUCCUGGAUGUAGCGGUGAAAUGCGCAGACUAUCAGGAGGAACACCGGUGGCGAAGGCGGGUCUCUGGGCCGAUACUGACGCUGGAGGAGCGAAAGCCGUGGGGAGCGAACAGG
Molecule: ribosomal RNA, 258 nt
Filed under: uncultured bacterium
Lineage: Bacteria
Description: partial 16S ribosomal RNA
Rfam family: Bacterial small subunit ribosomal RNA
Source: RNAcentral